GGAUCCAGACUUUGAUCCUGGCUCAGGACGAACGCUGGCGGCGUGCCUAACACAUGCAAGUCGAACGAAGCACUGUGGAUAGAGACUUCGGUCAAUUGAAGCUUUGACUUAGUGGCGGACGGGUGAGUAACGCGUGAGGAACCUGCCUUUCAGUGGGGGACAACAGUUGGAAACGACUGCUAAUACCGCAUAAUGUGUUUUGGGGGCAUCCCCGGAACACCAAAGAUUUAUUGCUGAAAGAUGGCCUCGCGUCUGAUUAGAUAGUUGGUGGGGUAACGGCCUACCAAGUCGACGAUCAGUAGCCGGACUGAGAGGUUGAACGGCCACAUUGGGACUGAGAUACGGCCCAGACUCCUACGGGAGGCAGCAGUGGGGAAUAUUGGGCAAUGGGGGAAACCCUGACCCAGCAACGCCGCGUGAAGGAAGAAGGCUUUCGGGUUGUAAACUUCUUUUACCAGGGACGAAGGACGUGACGGUACCUGGAGAAAAAGCCACGGCUAACUACGUGCCAGCAGCCGCGGUAAUACGUAGGUGGCAAGCGUUGUCCGGAUUUACUGUGUGUAAAGGGCGUGUAGGCGGGAGAGCAAGUCAGAAGUGAAAUCUAUGGGCUUAACCCAUAAACUGCUUUUGAAACUGUUCUUCUUGAGUAUCGGAGAGGCAGGCGGAAUUCCUAGUGUAGCGGUGAAAUGCGUAGAUAUUAGGAGGAACACCAGUGGCGAAGGCGGCCUGCUGGACGACAACUGACGCUGAGGCGCGAAAGCGUGGGGAGCAAACAGGAUUAGAUACCCUGGUAGUCCACGCUGUAAACGAUGAAUACUAGGUGUGGGAGGACUGACCCCUUCCGUGCCGCAGUUAACACAAUAAGUAUUCCACCUGGGGAGUACGAUCGCAAGAUUGCAACUCAAAUGAAUUGACGG
This 917-nucleotide ribosomal RNA is filed under the name uncultured Bacillota bacterium. RNAcentral's name for it is "bacterial SSU rRNA". It matches the Rfam family "Bacterial small subunit ribosomal RNA", at positions 1 to 916 of the family's 1533-position model. Lineage: Bacteria; Bacillati; Bacillota. The record is from RNAcentral.